Molecule: non-coding RNA, 75 nt
Organism: Myotis lucifugus (little brown bat)
Lineage: Eukaryota; Metazoa; Chordata; Mammalia; Chiroptera; Vespertilionidae
Source: Rfam
CUUGAUCUUCUUUUCUCUUGGGGACUGGGAGCAUACUGCAAUCUGAGGGUCUGGAGUAUUUUGGCCCAGUCCAAU